AUCACCCAGGGAUAUUGUUAAAAUGUAGAUUCUGACUCAGUAAUUCUGGGCUUGAGGUUCUGCAUGUCUAACAAUCUCCCAGGUGAUGCUGG
RNAcentral lists this microRNA precursor (92 nucleotides) under Callithrix jacchus (white-tufted-ear marmoset). RNAcentral describes it as "mir-544 microRNA precursor family". It matches the Rfam family "mir-544 microRNA precursor family". Lineage: Eukaryota; Metazoa; Chordata; Mammalia; Primates; Cebidae. The record is from Rfam by way of RNAcentral.